ACGCACGCUGGCGGCAUGCCUCACACAUGCAAGUCGAACGAGACCUUCGGGUCUAGUGGCGCACGGGUGCGUAACGCGUGGGAACCUGCCCUUAGGUUCGGAAUAACUCCCCGAAAGGGGUGCUAAUACCGGAUAAUGUCUUCGGACCAAAGAUUUAUCGCCUUUGGAUGGGCCCGCGUUGGAUUAGCUAGUUGGUAGGGUAAAAGCCUACCAAGGCGACGAUCCAUAGCUGGUCUGAGAGGAUGAUCAGCCACACUGGGACUGAGACACGGCCCAGACUCCUACGGGAGGCAGCAGUGGGGAAUAUUGGACAAUGGGCGAAAGCCUGAUCCAGCAAUGCCGCGUGAGUGAUGAAGGCCUUAGGGUUGUAAAGCUCUUUUACCCGGGAUGAUAAUGACAGUACCGGGAGAAUAAGCUCCGGCUAACUCCGUG
This 432-nucleotide ribosomal RNA is filed under the name uncultured bacterium. RNAcentral describes it as "partial 16S ribosomal RNA". It matches the Rfam family "Bacterial small subunit ribosomal RNA", at positions 29 to 507 of the family's 1533-position model. The record is from RNAcentral.